ACCUUAAUGAAAAAUAAUAAUGCUGAAAAACAAACCAGAUAUUUACCUGUUCCUUGCACUCAGGGAACAGGCAAUGUUGAGGGAUACCUGGGGUCCUCGAAGCACCUGUUAGCAGUUUGGCUAGUGGUUUCAAGAAAAGCCGCAGCAGGGAUGGACUCGAUACAGAGGAACGCACUGUUAUGAUCAGAAGCAGACACAGACGGCAGCCUCACCACGGGAACCAAGACGCACAACUCGAUGACACUUCUGAGCCAAUGAGCACAGCACUGAUGACUGGAGGGCAUGCAUAUAAGAUGCUCCUGUUUAACAUCUGACUUCCUCCAGCCAUGGAGCGAGAACAUAAAGAUCUGCCUUCCAAAACAGUAGCAUAAACCUGAACCAGAGUUUGGGAAGUAAUGGCUUACUAGUAUAGUGCUACAGUAAUAAUAUUA
RNAcentral lists this long non-coding RNA (431 nucleotides) under Sinocyclocheilus anshuiensis. Its description in RNAcentral is "lncRNA (ENSSANG00000001198.1)". Lineage: Eukaryota; Metazoa; Chordata; Actinopteri; Cypriniformes; Cyprinidae. The record is from RNAcentral.